ACCUCGAUCAGUAGAUCAG
This 19-nucleotide ribosomal RNA is filed under the name Phomopsis cf. phyllanthicola MY-2011. Its description in RNAcentral is "partial 28S large subunit ribosomal RNA". Lineage: Eukaryota; Fungi; Ascomycota; Sordariomycetes; Diaporthales; Diaporthaceae. The record is from RNAcentral.